This 359-nucleotide ribosomal RNA is filed under the name Gammaproteobacteria bacterium. Its description in RNAcentral is "bacterial SSU rRNA". It matches the Rfam family "Bacterial small subunit ribosomal RNA", at positions 555 to 914 of the family's 1533-position model. The record is from RNAcentral. Lineage: Bacteria; Pseudomonadati; Pseudomonadota; Gammaproteobacteria.
UGGGCGUAAGCGCACGCAGGCGGUCUGUUAAGUCAGAUGUGAAAUCCCCGGGCUUAACCUGGGAACUGCAUUUGAAACUGGCAGGCUUGAGUCUCGUAGAGGGGGGUAGAAUUCCAGGUGUAGCGGUGAAAUGCGUAGAGAUCUGGAGGAAUACCGGUGGCGAAGGCGGCCCCCUGGACGAAGACUGACGCUCAGGUGCGAAAGCGUGGGGAGCAAACAGGAUUAGAUACCCUGGUAGUCCACGCCGUAAACGAUGUCGACUUGGAGGUUGUUCCCUUGAGGAGUGGCUUCCGGAGCUAACGCGUUAAGUCGACCGCCUGGGGAGUACGGCCGCAAGGUUAAAACUCAAAUGAAUUGAC